Molecule: ribosomal RNA, 483 nt
Filed under: uncultured bacterium
Lineage: Bacteria
Description: partial 16S ribosomal RNA
Rfam family: Bacterial small subunit ribosomal RNA
Source: RNAcentral
GAUGAACGCUAGCGGCAGGCCUAAUACAUGCAAGCCGAACGGCAAGUUUGAUAGCAAUAUUGGACCUAGAGUGGCGCAAGGGUGCGUAACACGUAUGCAACCUGCCCUCGACAGGAGGAUAGCUCCCCGAAAGGGGAAUUAACCCUCCAUAACACCAUGAGAAGCCGUCUGAUUAUGGUUAAACCGCAAGGGUUCGCGCAUGGGCAUGCGGUUGAUUAGCUAGUUGGCGGGGUAAAGGCCCACCAAGGCGGUGAUCAAUAGGGGUUCUGAGAGGAAGGUCCCCAACACUGGCACUGAGAGACGGGGCAGACUCCUACGGGAGGCAGCAGUAGGGAAUAUUGGACAAUGGUUGGAAGACUGAUCCAGCCAUGCCGGGUGCAGGAAGAAGGCCUUCUGGGUAGUAAACUGCUUUUGCCUGGGGAUAAAAUACCCGUGCGCGGGGAAUUGAAGGUAACAGGGGAAUAAGCCACGGCUAACUACGUG